Molecule: ribosomal RNA, 116 nt
Filed under: Hericium erinaceus (lion's mane mushroom)
Lineage: Eukaryota; Fungi; Basidiomycota; Agaricomycetes; Russulales; Hericiaceae
Also listed under: 1 other name
Description: 5.8S ribosomal RNA
Rfam family: 5.8S ribosomal RNA
About the family: 5.8S ribosomal RNA (5.8S rRNA) is a component of the large subunit of the eukaryotic ribosome. It is transcribed by RNA polymerase I as part of the 45S precursor that also contains 18S and 28S rRNA. Functionally, it is thought that 5.8S rRNA may be involved in ribosome translocation.
Source: RNAcentral
UUUCAACAACGGAUCUCUUGGCUCUCGCAUCGAUGAAGAACGCAGCGAAAUGCGAUAAGUAAUGUGAAUUGCAGAAUUCAGUGAAUCAUCGAAUCUUUGAACGCACCUUGCGCCCC